RNAcentral lists this microRNA precursor (60 nucleotides) under Blattella germanica (German cockroach). RNAcentral's name for it is "Bge-Mir-1_pre stem-loop". It matches the Rfam family "mir-1 microRNA precursor family", at positions 10 to 70 of the family's 79-position model. From Rfam's summary of the family: This family represents the microRNA (miRNA) mir-1 family. miRNAs are transcribed as ~70nt precursors (modelled here) and subsequently processed by the Dicer enzyme to give a ~22nt product. In this case the mature sequence comes from the 3' arm of the precursor. The record is from RNAcentral. Lineage: Eukaryota; Metazoa; Arthropoda; Insecta; Blattodea; Blattellidae.
CCAUACUUCCUUACUUCUCAUAUUGCUUUUAAAACUUAUGGAAUGUAAAGAAGUAUGGAG